AUACGUAGGGGGCGAGCGUUGUCCGGAAUGAUUGGGCGUAAAGGGCGCGUAGGCGACCCGGUAAGUCUGGAGUGAAAGUCCUGCUUUUAAGGUGGGAAUUGCUUUGGAUACUGUCGGGCUUGAGUGCAGGAGAGGUAAGUGGAAUUCCCAGUGUAGCGGUGAAAUGCGUAGAGAUUGGGAGGAACACCAGUGGCGAAGGCGACUUACUGGACUGUAACUGACGCUGAGGCGCGAAAGUGUGGGGAGCAAACAGGAUUAGAUACCCUGGUAGUCCACACUGUAAACGAUGAAUGCUAGGUGUAGGGGGCAUCGACCCCUUCUGUGCCGCAGUCAACACAAUAAGCAUUCCGCCUGGGGAGUACGGCCGCAAGGUUGAAACUCAAAUGAAUUGACGGGG
RNAcentral lists this ribosomal RNA (397 nucleotides) under uncultured bacterium. RNAcentral's name for it is "partial 16S ribosomal RNA". It matches the Rfam family "Bacterial small subunit ribosomal RNA", at positions 523 to 918 of the family's 1533-position model. The record is from RNAcentral.